Non-coding RNA from Gasterosteus aculeatus aculeatus (three-spined stickleback), 1044 nucleotides. Lineage: Eukaryota; Metazoa; Chordata; Actinopteri; Perciformes; Gasterosteidae. The record is from RefSeq and is a predicted model, not a curated record.
CUUCUGAGUUUGUAUCCCUAUGGUCGAAUGCACUUACUGUAAGUCGCUUUGGAUAAAAGCGUCAGCUAAAUGACAUGUAAUGUAAUUCAAGGAAAAUGCCAUUAUUUAGCUCAACUCAAAAGCACGAGUUUAAUGCUUGUGAUUUCAGCAUCUCGUCCCCACAGGGAGCGUCCUGCAGCCGUCUCCAUCGCAAUCAAGAGCAGGCCAACGCCACAGAGCCGGACUUCAAGUCGAAGGAUUGGGUGUUCCUCAACUACACGCAGGGCUGUAGUGGAGGGUAAACGCACGUAAACGCCGUUUACGCACCUCUAGAAUUUUGGAAAUAGCGUUUACGCACCUCAAAGUUCCCUGCGCCUUGUAGAUCCAUCACAACCUCCAAACUCUCACCAGACCGGUUCGCAGCCGAGUGUGAAGCGGUUGGGAUGAUGAUUAGCCCCUCUAGAUCUGAGGAAAUGGUUCUCAGGAGGAAACCGAUAGAUUGCUUCAUCUGGGUAGGGAAUGUGUCCUUACCCCAAGUGAAGAAGUUCAAGUACGUCUGGGUCUUGUUCACAAGUGAGGGGAAGAUGGAGUGUGAAUUUAGACGGAGAAUCGGAGCAGCAGGGGCGGUAUUCCACUUGCUUUACCGCACCGGUGUGACCAAAAGGGAGCUGAGCCAGAAGGCAAAGCUGUAUGUGCUUUAUAGGAAGAGCCCUUGAUCAGGUUCUUCUGAGUAGAACUCCAGCAGAUAAAAUGAGAGUUAAACCCUUAUUACUGAAAAGUCGAGUGUAAAACAAAAAACACACAUACAAUAAGUGAAGACUUACGGGAAAACAGAAAGAUGUGAAAGAGCUGUGUAUAAUUACAACAAAGCGAGAUUUUUUUUUUUUUUUUUUAAGAACUGUAGCACAUUUAGGUGUUUUUUGUCUGUUCUCUACAGUAUUCAUGUCCAGUACAUAUUUUUCCAGACAAAAAAAGAACAAAACAACACAAAACAGAUUUUUAUUUGUUGUUGCUUCAGCAGAGUUGUUUCAAGUGCGUCUAUGAACGUACAGGACGUGGCCACAG